CAGGAUGAACGCUGGCGGCGCGCUUAACACAUGCAAGUCGAACGGUUAAAGCACCUCCGGGUGUGCAUAAAGUGGCGAACGGCUGAGUAACACGUGGGCAACCUGCCCCCCGCACCGGGAUAGCCUCGGGAAACCGUGGGUAAUACCGGAUACUCCGCCACCCCCGCAUGGGGGAGGCGGGAAAGCGUACACGGCGGGGGAUGGGCCCGCGGCCUGUUAGCUCGUUGGCGGGGUAACGGCCCACCAAGGCGAUUAUGGGUAGCCGGGUUGAGAGACCGACCGGCCAGAUUGGGACUGAGACACGGCCCAGACUCCUACGGGAGGCAGCAGUGGGGAAUCUUGCACAAUGGGCGAAAGCCUGAUGCAGCGACGCCGCGUGCGGGAUGAAGGCCCUCGGGUUGUAAACCGCUUUCAGCAGGGACGAGGCGCAAGUGACGGUACCCGCAGAAGAAGCCCCGGCUAACUACGUGCCAGCCGCCGC
This 481-nucleotide ribosomal RNA is filed under the name uncultured bacterium. RNAcentral's name for it is "bacterial SSU rRNA". It matches the Rfam family "Bacterial small subunit ribosomal RNA", at positions 25 to 518 of the family's 1533-position model. The record is from RNAcentral.